This 305-nucleotide ribosomal RNA is filed under the name uncultured bacterium. RNAcentral describes it as "bacterial SSU rRNA". It matches the Rfam family "Bacterial small subunit ribosomal RNA", at positions 337 to 659 of the family's 1533-position model. The record is from RNAcentral.
ACCUACGGGAGGCAGCAGUGGGGAAUAUUGCACAAUGGGGGAAACCCUGAUGCAGCGACGCCGCGUGAAGGACGAAGUAUUUCGGUACGUAAACUUCUAUCAGCAGGGAAGAAAAUGACGGUACCUGACCAAGGAGCCCCGGCUAACUACGUGCCAGCAGCCGCGGUAAUACGUAGGGGGCAAGCGUUAUCCGGAAUCACUGGGUGUAAAGGGAGCGUAGACGGCUGUGCAAGCCUGAAGUGAAAGGCGGGGGCCCAACCCCUGGACUGCUUUGGGAACUGUACGGCUGGAGUGCAGGAGGGGUA